This 619-nucleotide ribosomal RNA is filed under the name uncultured candidate division SR1 bacterium. RNAcentral describes it as "bacterial SSU rRNA". It matches the Rfam family "Bacterial small subunit ribosomal RNA", at positions 471 to 1083 of the family's 1533-position model. The record is from RNAcentral. Lineage: Bacteria; Candidatus Absconditibacteriota.
GACGGUACACCAAGAAUAAGAGACGGCUAACUACGUGCCAGCAGCCGCGGUAAUACGUAGGUCUCAAGCGUUAUCCGGAUUUACUGGGCGUAAAGUAUCCGUAGCCUGAUAUGUAAGUCUGUUUUCAAAUCCCACGACUCAAUCGUGGAAAGGGAAUGGAUACUGCAUAUCUAGAAGUUAUUGGGGGUUAGUGGAAUUUCCGGUGGAGCGGUGAAAUGCGUUGAUAUCGGAAAGAACGCCGAAAGCGAAAGCAGCUAACUAUGAUUAACUUGACGGUGAGGGAUGAAAGUUUGGGUAGCAAACGGGAUUAGAUACCCCGGUAGUCCAAACUGUAAAUUAUGCUUGCUAGGUGUUUCGAUCCUUGUGGUCGGAGUGCCGUAAUCUAACGAGUUAAGCAAGUCGCCUGGGUAGUAUAUUCGCAAGAAUGAAACUCAAAGGGGUAGGCGGGGGAACACACAAGCAGUGGAUUAUCUAGAUUAAUUGGAUAAUAAGCCAAGAAUCUUACCUAGAAUUGACAUGCAUUGUGUCUCAUAUGAAAGUAUGAUAUUUGUAGCGAUACAGAGCUUUGCACAGGUGGUGCAUGGUUGUUGUCAGCUGGCGCCCACAAGUGUCCAGUUCG